This 92-nucleotide transfer RNA is filed under the name Delftia tsuruhatensis. RNAcentral's name for it is "tRNA-Gly(gcc)". Lineage: Bacteria; Pseudomonadati; Pseudomonadota; Betaproteobacteria; Burkholderiales; Comamonadaceae. The record is from RNAcentral.
GAGCUUGAAGGCGGUAUAGGGGCGCAGCACGUUGCCGGCGUCCUGCAGGGCGGGCAGGCCCUCUGCGCCGGUCACGCUCAGCGUGGGCUCCC